GAUUAUGAUUAAGAACAGGGGGGUGCAACUCCCAUACAAAGGAAAAGAACAUUCAACUAGCGCCAUCUUUAGGAACCGGCGAGGUCAUUUUUGAAACGUUUUGGCCUUAAUGAACUAAUAAACUCACUAGAUGGCAGAUACGAGUUCUGACUCAAUAAAAAAUGUUAGCGUACUUUGAAGCAGUGCUUCCACUUUUAGGGGAUUCUCCCUUUUUUAGGGAAAAAUAGCUGAUAUUUUGGAUGAUAAAGACAAUUUAAAAAAUACCAGGAUUUAGGAUAUUUCGGGGUAAAAAGCAAAGCCUAUACUAGUAACUGUUGUGAAUUUUAAAAUAAACGAUAAUUAAAGUAAAACAAUGAACAUUUUAUUUUAUGGAGAGAGAAUGACAUUAAGUCGAGUUGACAAGUAAAAGAAUAAAACAGAGUUGUGUAUAAAAACUAUAAAGGUUUGAUUCAACAGUAACCCUCUAGUAAAGUAAAUCAUAGAUUAAGCCACUGCUUUUUCUUAGGGAUUCCCCAGAAUCCCAAUAAGUAUAAUCCGCCAAAUUUUUAUUUACCUAUUUUCGUUGAUGUCACCAGAACUUACUUGUAUUGUAAUAUACAGGUACUUCAUGUACCAUGAAAGAUUAUCAUGGUAAUUUCAUUUACGAAAACCUUGUAAUUGUCAUUUCACUUUUGCUAGCAGUUCCUUCUUCAAAGACUGAGGUGGAAAGAUUAUUCAGUGUUCUCAAAUUUAAAAACUGACAAAAGAAACAGGCUUUCUAAUGAAACCCUGAACGGCUUGCUUCAUAGAAAGUUCCCAACUUUGCCAGCAAACAAUUGCUCAAUUUUAGAACCGAACAGUGUUAGGUUGUGCAGCAAAAGAAUAUAAAAGCAAUGCGUCGACUUCCUUGAAAAUUCUAAUCCUAUAGAUCUAUGAUCUUCUGGGGGCGUUUAUAUUAUAUAUACCUACAUUAAAUAAUAUGCUGUGGUUUAUUUUCUGUAUUUUAUUUACGCUUUCUAUAUAAAGGAUUUAUGAAAGUUGUCUAGGAAAUUUUAGGGUAAAUUCAAAAGAAACUAGGGUAACAUGUGUUAAAAAAAACGUAAGUGGAAACACUGCUUUGAAGUUUUCAAAAUUCCAGGGCCGUAAAACAAUCUCAAAAAAAAAAAAAAGUUUUCAAAAUGUCGUAACGAUUUAAUUUUUUAAAUCGUUUUUUUUUGGUCUUGGUAAUGUUUAUUAUUAAAAAUCAGCAUGCCUCGAAGAUCGAAAAUGAAAUGCUAUUUCGGAUGCCUUGAUAACGACAAAGGUUUGAUAAUGACAAAAUUUUAUGGAAAAAUUAUAAGGAGCACUAAAAUGUCUGAAACAUGAAAAGAUUGAUGCACUAUAUUUGAACCAGAACGUGUUAUGUAAUAUAUUAAUUUAAGAGAAAAUGAUUCAGCAAGGAACGUGAACUCUCAAGGGAUCUUAAUUUUUUUUAAAUAUGUUUAUAAUUGAUAAAUUAAUAAUUGAAAUAGUUCAUAAGAACUAAAUUGAUGCCAAUUUUGUUUUAAAAUAGGUUGUUUAGUUCUUAUAGUUAUAGUAUUACGUUUGAAUAGUUGUAAUUAGUAAGUUAGUAAUAUAUGAAAAUACUGAUAUAAAUUUUUGUAAAUAACCUUUUGUAAAUUCUACGAGAAGAUGAUUUUAAUUAAUGAUCAAAAGUCAACGGUCUUUAAAAGCAUUAUUUGCAAUUAUUUAGAUUAACUGUGGAAUAUAUUUGCUAAGUUGUGUUUUCUGUAUGAGCAGAUAUAAAUGAAAAUGCCCAAACAUGAUUAUGUUUCUUACAUUUUCAUUAUGUGAAAUCAAUAUGCUUGUGACUGAGUAUAUUAAUAAUUUAUUAAAACUUAAGUGAUAGACAGCAACCCCUAUGGCACUGCUGAAGUUUAUAAGCACUGGUGACCACUUAUCAUGGGCCGGGUUGCGUGCUCGUCUGCUGUUGAGUGCAAUAAAAAUUUUCGAAACCCUUUCUAUUAUUUAGAUGUAAUAUUAGUGUACAUUUAAUUUGGAUUAAAAGAUAAAUUUACAUUUUAUGUUUGCAUGUGUAUGUUUAUAAUUCAUUUGCAUGUAACGAACACCAGUUUCUUUUGUAACAAAAUGUAAACUAAUGGUUUGUAAUGAAUGUAAUUAACUUUAAGAUGAUUUUCUUUCAAUCUGCUGUUUGUUUCAUCUAGUAUUACCAAAGCUAAAGCAUCAGAAACGUCAGAAUAGAAAUAAUUUAGAUAGGGAAUAAAAGUAUAACUAAUGUAAUCAUGUCUAAGAUUACUAUAAGCGUCAUUAAGUACAAACUAUCAAUAUUUAAGAGUACUUUAAAUCAUCAUUACAUUUUUUAAACAUUUUUUGUUUUUCAAAUCAUGUAAUAAAACGUUUGUGCAGAACAAAAUGUCACAUGUUAUGAACAUGAUUGUGGGUUAAUCGUUUCUUAAAUUUCUAAAUGUUUAUAAGAAUGCUAAGAAUAAUUUAGUAUUCACUUUAGUGUGUGUAUUAUCUCUACAAUGCUAGUAUAAAUGACAAUUAUUGUAUGACGAAGCAUAGGUAGUGUUUAUAGAUGUAAUAUUUUCAUACAAGGUCAUGAUCUGUCACGAUCAACUUUAAGCAAGAACUGCUAUAGUUAAGAAACAAAUUUAUUAAAUUUAAUUCAAAUUGUCUACUAUGUUUGUAAUGGAAAGCUGACAUGUUUAUAUUUCGCACAAAUGACUUAAGUGACAUUGAAUGAUUUGAUUAUCUAGACUUAAUUAACUUUUAGAUAACUUUUGAUUUAAUGUGUACGCUAGUAGGAUUAUUCUAGAGGAGUUAUUGUUAUUCGAAAUUUUAUACAAUUUACGUUCAUACUAUCUUUUAACAGUAAAUUGUUUGUAAUAUAGGGAAAUUAAAUAGCUUACAGAGAA
This is a long non-coding RNA of Bombyx mori (domestic silkworm), 2897 nucleotides long. RefSeq lists it as uncharacterized. Lineage: Eukaryota; Metazoa; Arthropoda; Insecta; Lepidoptera; Bombycidae. The transcript is spliced from 4 exons. The record is from RefSeq and is a predicted model, not a curated record.